UACGUAGGGCGCAAGCGUUGUCCGGAAUCAUUGGGCGUAAAGAGCUCGUAGGCGGUCUGUCACGUCGGCUGUGAAAUCCCGAGGCUCAACCUCGGGUCUGCAGUCGAUACGGGCAAACUAGAGUAUUGCAGGGAGACUGGAAUUCCUGGUGUAGCGGUGAAAUGCGCAGAUAUCAGGAGGAACACCGGUGGCGAAGGCGGGUCUCUGGGCAAUAACUGACGCUGAGGAGCGAAAGCGUGGGAGCGAACAGG
Molecule: ribosomal RNA, 251 nt
Filed under: uncultured bacterium
Lineage: Bacteria
Description: partial 16S ribosomal RNA
Rfam family: Bacterial small subunit ribosomal RNA
Source: RNAcentral